CCUACGGGAGGCAGCAGUGAGGAAUAUUGGUCAAUGGACGAGAGUCUGAACCAGCCAAGUAGCGUGAAGGAUGACUGCCCUAUGGGUUGUAAACUUCUUUUAUAUGGGAAUAAAAUGUUCCACGUGUGGGAUUUUGUAUGUACCAUAUGAGUAAGGAUCGGCUAAGUCCGUGCCAGCAGCCGCGGUAAUACGGAGGAUCCGAGCGUUAUCCGGAUUUAGUGGGUUUAAAGGGAGCGUAGAUGGGUUGUUAAGUCAGUUGUGAAAGUUUGCGGCUCAACCGUAAAAUUGCAAUUGAUACUGGCAGCCUUGAGUACAGUUGAGGUAGGCGGAAUGCGUGGUGUAGCGGUGAAAUGCUUAGAGAUCACGCAGAACCCCGAUUGCGAAGGCAGCCUGCCAGGCCAUGACUGACGCUGAUGCACGAAAGCGUGGGGAUCAAACAGGAUUAGAUACCCGAGUAGUC
This 460-nucleotide ribosomal RNA is filed under the name uncultured bacterium. Its description in RNAcentral is "partial 16S ribosomal RNA". It matches the Rfam family "Bacterial small subunit ribosomal RNA", at positions 338 to 795 of the family's 1533-position model. The record is from RNAcentral.